Molecule: ribosomal RNA, 60 nt
Filed under: Lachnospira sp.
Lineage: Bacteria; Bacillati; Bacillota; Clostridia; Lachnospirales; Lachnospiraceae
Description: partial 23S ribosomal RNA
Source: RNAcentral
UAAGGUGGAAGUAUAGUGAUAUAUGGAGCUGAUAAGUACUAAUUGGUCGAGGGCUUAACC